Molecule: long non-coding RNA, 454 nt
Filed under: Cyanistes caeruleus (blue tit)
Lineage: Eukaryota; Metazoa; Chordata; Aves; Passeriformes; Paridae
Description: lncRNA (ENSCCEG00000019492.1)
Source: RNAcentral
GUGACCUGCAGGACAGGGUGUGAGGGGAGAAGGUGCAGUGUCACUCUGCCACCGUGUUUGCCCAGGCCCAAGCAGAGCUGUGUCUCUCAGAGAUGGGAAGAGCUUUCCUGAAAGGUGGUCUGUGGCUGUGGUUUUGAGGUCCAUAUCGUGUGGGACCAGAGGCAGAGAUCUCCCUGUGCAGUCAGUGCAGAGGAUGUUGGAUUUCCUGUGCCCACCUGUCUCUGGCUGGAUCCAGCUCCCAAGAGUCCGUGGGAUCUGUGUGGAUGCCACUUGGUUGGUUCUGUGAAGAAAAGCUUCUUCCAGUGUUUCAUUUCCUCUCUGCUUUUCAGUGCUGCAGCUAAACACAAGCUAGAUUUCCACGGAGAGGGUAAGAAUUUUAAAUGAAAGUAACUAUAAUUCUGUGUGUCAUUUGUGGUUCCAUCCAAAGACUGAAUAAAGUGUAGUAUAAGGACCA